Molecule: ribosomal RNA, 497 nt
Filed under: uncultured bacterium
Lineage: Bacteria
Description: partial 16S ribosomal RNA
Rfam family: Bacterial small subunit ribosomal RNA
Source: RNAcentral
GAUGAACGCUGGCGGCGUGCCUAAUACAUGCAAGUCGAGCGAACAGACGAGGAGCUUGCUCCUCUGACGUUAGCGGCGGACGGGUGAGUAACACGUGGAUAACCUACCUAUAAGACUGGGAUAACUUCGGGAAACCGGAGCUAAUACCGGAUAAUAUAUUGAACCGCAUGGUUCAAUAGUGAAAGACGGUUUUGCUUUCACUUAUAGAUGGAUCCGCGCCGCAUUAGCUAGUUGGUAAGGUAACGGCUUACCAAGGCAACGAUGCGUAGCCGACCUGAGAGGGUGAUCGGCCACACUGGAACUGAGACACGGUCCAGACUCCUACGGGAGGCAGCAGUAGGGAAUCUUCCGCAAUGGGCGAAAGCCUGACGGAGCAACGCCGCGUGAAUGAUGAAGGUCUUCGGAUCGUAAAACUCUGUUAUUAGGGAAGAACAAAUGUGUAAGUAACUAUGCACGUCUUGACGGUACCUAAUCAGAAAGCCACGGCUAACUACGUG